AUUUGACCUCAAAUCAGGUAGGACUACCCGCUGAACUUAAGCU
Molecule: ribosomal RNA, 43 nt
Filed under: Tricholoma imbricatum
Lineage: Eukaryota; Fungi; Basidiomycota; Agaricomycetes; Agaricales; Tricholomataceae
Description: partial 28S ribosomal RNA
Source: RNAcentral